UUCUUGGAGUGCAGUUUUCAUUCUUGUGUCUUCAAUAUCUAACAGACUUAAUAAUGGUGCUUGAGAAGUACUGUUGCUUUUACCAAGGAUGCUCUGCUAAUUAACAAGUCAGCAAAUAAUUUUCGAGCGUCUGCCAUGUGCCAACCACUUUGCUAAACAGCAGGGAUAUAUUGUGAACUGUGAACAAGACCAAUUGAGGUCCCUAUUUUUGUGAGACUUGAAUUGUGAUGGAGGGAGACAGAUGAUGAGCACAUAAACCAGUAAGCUGAUUUUUGGUACAGUUAAGUGCUGUAAAGGACGUAAUGCAGGGAGCAUAUUCAUCUAACAUACUUUAGCAGACAUUCUAGUUACUAGCAUCCACAAAAGAGAAAAAGAGUAGUCAUACAAAAUGGACGCAAUUAACUUUUGUAUAUUGAUCUUGUACCUAAUGACUUUGCUGAACUUACUAGUUCUAAUAGUUUUUUAGUGGAUUCCUGUACUUUCUAUAUACAAGAGUGUGUCAUCUGAGCAUAUGGGACUUUUUAGUUUUUCCCUUCUAAUCUGAAUGCCUUUUAUUUAUUUCUCUUGCCUAAUUGCUUGGCCAGAACUUCCAGUACAAUGUCGAAUAAAAAUGGUGAAAGCAAACAUCCUUGUCUUGUUCCUCAUCUUAGAAAGUAUUCAGUCAUUUGCCACUGAGCGUGAUGUUAACUAUGCAUUUUUUGUAGAUUUCCUCCAUUGUUUCUUUGCUUGCAAUUAUUCGGUUACCUUGCUUGCAACACUCAACACGUUUAGCCAUUCUCAGCAACAUGUGAUAGUAUACUAACCAAUAUUUCUAGCAUCAUUUGCAAUGCUACCUUUUUUUUAAAGAUUUUAUUUAUUCAUGAUAGACACACACGGAGAGGCAGAAACACAGACAGAGGGAGAAGAAGACUCCUAGCAAAGAGCCCGAUGCGGGACUCGAUCCCAACCCCAGGAUCAUGCCCAAAGGCAGAUGCUCGACCGCUGAGCCACCCAGGCGUCCCAUCAAUGCUACUUCUUUAUGCACUAAAAUGUUUUCAUUUAUUGAUUUGUUUCAUCUUAACCGUUUGUAUAGAAAUCUUUCCAAAGUGGUAAACAUUCCUGGCUACUUUAAACAGAAUACAUAUAAUUCAACUGUUGCUUUUAAACUUGGAUCUAAUUGUGAUGUAUUACUAUGCUAGCUAAUAAUGUGGUGAUGCCUUUGGGAGAUUAUUGGAUAGUCUGGCCCUACAAAGAGUCCUUUCAAACUGCUCUACGUUUUGUGCAUCUGUGUCUCCUUUUUACAAAUACAGAUUGUCCUGUCCCUAGUUGUUAAUUGGCACUUUUUCUGACCUUACGAUGCUUGCCUCUGAGAACAUUCUCUUUUAAUAGGUGAUAUCUAAUCUCCUGAGGACCAGGCUGCGAGAGAACCAAAAUAUUUAGAAGAUUUUGUAAAAUAAGAGUAAAUGAACUGAGAAAUAAAUUAUUUUGUGAAUUAAGUGCAUGAACUUUCCUAUAUCUUGUUUGGUUAAAUUUCCUAGGUACUUGGUUCUGUUCUGAAAUGAAUCACUGUUGAGUGUGAGGUACUCACUAUAUCAUAAAUAAAAUUAUUUCUCAGAGGCUUGUACUAGUUCCCACAACCUCAUCCCCAUUCCUAGUCAGUUUUCAUGAGUUGAACUCUCCCUAUUUCUCUUACUCCUCCAGGACAUGAAUGUUCAUAGUAGCCUUAUUCAUAAUCACCAUAAAAUCAAAACAACGUAAAGUCAAAUAAACAGGAAUUGUCACAUUAAUUAGUACAAUAGAAUAUUUUGUAGCAGUUGAACAAAUUAUAGCUAUAUUCAGCAACACGGAUGAAUCACACAAUGUUGGAUCAAAGGCCAGAUGUAAAAUUUUUGCCUAAUACAUGAUUACAUAUAAAUCUCAAAAACAGUGUUUGAAGUCAAGGUAGCUGUUACCUUUAAGGGAGGAAGGUAGGGACAGUAAGACAAGACUAAAAUAAGGCAGAAAGGUAGAAAGUAAAGAGGUCACCAGGAAGAGGUAAAAGUCCUAAAACUAGAUGCACCUAAUAACAUAGACUCAAAUGCAUAAGAUGGGCAGAAUUAACAAAAAGAAACUGACAGAUCCUAUGAGCACAUGGAGAUCUUAACAUCUCCUUUGUGAAAGUUCAGUAGGCUGAAGACAUUUUGAGCAAUAUCUGAUAAUUAUUCACUCCUAAAUUAGGAAAUACAUUUUCAAGCAUGCUUAGAACACUUACAACAGUUCACUAUCCCAUAUUGAGCUGAAAUCUGUUUUACUAAGGUUUUUAUCUUCUGCUCCUAGUUCUGUCUAUUGGAACCAUAAAGACAUGUUACUCUUUCAGUGACAACCCUUCUAAUUUUUAAAGACAGCUGCCAUGUGUCCAGUGAGUCAUGUAUCUGGUUUAACCAAACAAGAGUGAUUGAAGGAUGACCAUCACAUCUGGGUGGAUGUGCCACUUAUUGGAAUAGAAAACACUGGUGAGCCUGGUGAAACAGUAACAAAGAUCUCCCCUUGGAUGCCUAGUGGUCUCCUAACACUUAACAUGUCCAAAAUUGGUCUCUAUUCUUAUAUAAAAAUCUGCUACUCUGCCAGUGUUCCUUACCUCCAUGAGCAGCAUCACCAUUGACUCAGGUGUUCAGGCCAAAAAAUCUCCAGAUCCUUCUUACUCCUCGUGCCACUAUAACAAAUCCUUCCAGGAUAUAUUGCAAUCCUAUCAUUUUUCCCCUUUACCUCUACCACUGAGUCCAAGUUUCCAUUGCUCUUGUCUAGACCAUAACAAUAGUUUUUGGGGUUUUUUUUUGUUUUGUUUUGUUUUGUUUAAUUUGAGAGAGGGGGAGUGCAUGUGCACAUGUGGAAAGAGUGAGGAGGAGUAAAGGGAGAGGGCGCAAAUCUCAAGCAGACUCCAUGCAGAACUUGGGCCAGAUCUCACAAGCCUGAGAUCAUGACCCAAGCUGAAACCAAGAGUCUGACUCCCAACCAAUUGAGCUACCCAGACCACAACAAUAGCUUCUUAACUGAUCCCCCUGUUUCUACAGUUCCCCCAUACAUUCUCUUCUCCAUAUUGGAACCAGAAAGAUCCUUUUACAUGUAAGUUGGACCCUGUUUUUUUCUCUCAUCCCUAUAGUGACUUCCAACAAACUUAGAAUAGUGCAGAGUGCCCUGGUGGCUCGGCAGUUUAGCGCUGCCUUUGGCCCAGGGUGUGAUCCUGGAGACCCAGGAUCGAGUCCCAUGUCGGGCUCCCUGCAUGGAGCCUGCUUCUCCCUCUGCCUGUGUCUCUGACUCUUUCUCUCUCUCCGUGUCUCUCAUGAAUAAAUAAAUAAAAUCUUAAAAAAAAAAAAAA
RNAcentral lists this long non-coding RNA (3334 nucleotides) under Canis lupus familiaris (dog). Its description in RNAcentral is "lncRNA (ENSCAFG00805024798.1, ENSCAFG00845019637.1)". Lineage: Eukaryota; Metazoa; Chordata; Mammalia; Carnivora; Canidae. The record is from RNAcentral.